GCAGGGGAAGGCCACGCUCAUGUGCCUGGCCAACAAGGGCUUCCCCUCAGACUGGAGUCUGGCCUGGAAGGUGGACGGCAGCAGCAGCAGCAGCAGCAGCAGCAGCUGGGAGGAGAGCAGGAGCCCCGGGGUGCUGCAGAAGGACGGCCACUACAGCUGGAGCAGCACCCUGAGGCUCUCUGCAGACCAGUGGAGGAAGGUGGGCUCUGUGACCUGUGAGGCCACCCAGGGCUCCCAGACUCCGCUCUCAGAGACACUGAGGAGAGACCAGUGUUCCCAGUCCUGACCUGACUCACUGGGACUCUGCUACUGGUUUUCCUCUGCUCCUGCUCUCACUCUGCACUCUGGAACUGUCUCUCUCUUUUAUUUGACAUCUUUCAACAGCAAGAUUUACUAGCUUGUUGCACUGUUUCAAUAUUAUUUCAGUGUUUCCAGAUAAUAAAGACCUUUUCAUCCAA
Non-coding RNA from Micropterus dolomieu (smallmouth bass), 458 nucleotides. The record is from the annotation of a RefSeq genome assembly. NCBI's taxonomy places the organism in Eukaryota, Metazoa, Chordata, Actinopteri, Centrarchiformes, Centrarchidae.